RNAcentral lists this long non-coding RNA (5097 nucleotides) under Sus scrofa (pig). RNAcentral describes it as "lncRNA (ENSSSCG00000058658.1)". The record is from RNAcentral. Lineage: Eukaryota; Metazoa; Chordata; Mammalia; Artiodactyla; Suidae.
CAGCUGACAUUGAUAAUGGAGAUAAGAUUGGUGACUUACUCAUGUUGUACACACCCAUCUGCAUACGAAUGCCAAUAAGCACAUCCUUUUCUACAUAAUCACGCUGUUAAAAGGCGCCAUGUGACCCAUUUCCCUGAAGGAUAAGUAACAUGAGAUUAUUUGAGGGAGUGGGAGUUUAGAGGAGGUGUUCUGGGACAGUGUUCUUCCUCUGCCAGUUCAGGUAACCGUGAAGGGACCUCAGCAAUUGGUUUGCUUGGUUCAGGGAUUGAUGGCACUGCUAGCUCAGAGGCUUGUCCACAUUUCAUCGGGGUUGCUAGGCAGGUUCUCAGAUAAGCCUUCUUUCCUCUACCUUUGGGGGUCAUCAGCUGUCACAAGGCCAGCCUGCCAGGCCUUGGCUGUCGUCUGCAAUUAACAAUUUUUUUCACCUGGGUUCCUAUGGGUAUCUCCUCCCCCUCUCCCUGCCCUAUGCCUGGAUCCAAACAUCAGGAAGUUCCAUCCAGAGGGCUUACUGCUUAAAGUCACAGUGUCUUCUUGGGACAAAAAAAAAAAAAAAAAAGCUGCUCUAGCACAGGUUUGGGCCCUGAUCUGGGAACUUCUGCCUGCUGCUGGCUCUGCCUCAAAAAAAAGAAAAAAAGAAAAAAAGAAAAGUACAGUCCUGCCUGCUUUCUUCUUUCUUUGCUCACGAUUGAAUCAUUCCUUCUGCCCCAAUCAGCCUUCUCAUGCUUUUGUGUCAGACAGCAGAUAGUUAAACAGCGAGGUAACAGUCUCUUUGAAAGACUUUUGUUCCUGAGGAAGUGAUUUUGUAAGUAAUUGCUUCGAGUCACUUUUAACGGCAUCAUGUAGUUUCAUUUCUUUUAAAUCUUUAUUUUUUAAGGGAAUUGCGCUUUCCCACUUCCGGUGUUUUAAAUCUAUUUUAAACCUAAGAUAGCAGUCUUUGAAUGCAGUUUUACAAAAUAAUUUACUUGGGUCACCUAUAUAAUACCCUCAUCACUGCAGUUAUUCCUACUGUCCUCGGAUCACGAUGGUAUAAAUGGAAUAUUCUAGGUGUGAGCAGUAAUUAGCUUUCUGGUCCCUUCAUCAUAACUUGCAUUGUGUUGUACAGACUUCUGUUGGCAAUGUCCAGGGAUUUUAUUCUAAACUGUCACAUUUAACCCAUGUAUUCAACCUGUAAGUAUUUAGGUUCUUCUCUGCCUUUUCAUUUUGCCACCACUCUGAAUCAGAAAAUUAGUUUCCUGUGGAAAACAUUUUAAAGCAAAAUAUAUGGAGCACCAAAUUAAAUAAUGUUAGAGUUAAUUCCAUUUUACUUAUUAUUUUUUGAACCACUUGUUUAGUGAGGUGAAUUAAGGAAAAAAUCAAUUGAUUGAUCUUUGGAUUUUUUUUUUAACAUCACAGAGAAGAGCCGUGGAUUACCGGAACUCAAAUAUCUAAAGUUCACCAAGAAAUCGAAAUUGCUUGGCCCUCUGGAAAGUUCUUUCUGUGCUCCUGGGCUUGCUAGGACUGCUCUAAAAUCUUUGUCAAGAAGGAAGUUUCGGGGGAGGGUGGAGGACUUCUGAUCCUGUGAUAUUCUUUCCUCUUUUGUUUCAGGGCCCAUGGCCAUCACCCUCUUGACUUUAUUCUGCCUGGUCUUCAUAUUCCCAUAGCUCUAAAUAUGGGACUGCAUGAUAAGUAAAACCUCUUAAGAAAGUGGAGCAUUUGCACUACAUUUCCCUGAAAAUCUAAGAUGCCAUAGGCUAGAGGCUCACAGCACAGGGGAUCAUCAGCCUCAGUGAUAACUGUAAUAAGGCUACGUCUCAUUUUCUGGGAAAGACAGAUUUUCCAGUUUCCUCCUGUAUAACUCAAAGGAAGUUUGAGUGUUAGCACCUCAAAAUACUUCUAAAUCCUCAGGAGGAAAAUGUGAAGCAAAAAAUAUCUAUUUCCUAAAGCAAAAUGCCUAUUUUAUUCUUUUUCCGAAUAAUGAAGUUAUUUCUUAUCCCAUGGUAGAAAUGUAUAGGUGAGAACUCCCGCUGAGAACUUCUUGAUCUGAAAACCUAAGGAACUUGUGCCAUUCUAGGCAAAAAGACAAGAAAACAUUGUCUUCUUAGUUGUGCUUACCUUUCACAUUUUUCUGAGAGCUGCUUCCUGGCAACCUUACCCAUAACAGAACUAAGAACCAAGAACAAACAGAGAAAGUCUUUGACUAUCCCAAUAAAUGUUACAAAACCCAUGCUCUGACGUUCCCCUAGUGGCUCAGAAGGUAAAGAACCCGACUGGUAUCCAUGAGGUGGCAGGUUCGAUCCCUGGCCUUGCUCAGUGGGUUAAGGAUCCAGCAUUCUCGUGAGCUGUGGUGCAGGUCGCAGACAAAGCUCAGAUCCUGUGUUGCUGUAACUGUGGUCUAGGCGGGCAUCUGGAGCUCUGAUUCGACACCUGGCCUGGGAACUUCCAUAUGCUGUGGGUGUGGACAUAAAAAGCAAAAAAAUCAAAAAUAAAAAGACAAAAAAAAACAUACUCUGAUACUCCUGAGUUUUUCCAAAGGAAAGUUCUUCAACCCUUUGUUUAAAUCCUACUUACUCUUAAUUUACACAUAAUUCUAAUUACCUUAAUGACAUUGUUUUCGAUCACAUGACAGACUGCAAGCAGAAAAUUAGGGAAAUAGACAUUGCAUAAAACAAGUAGAAAUACUUACAAUAACUUAACAUGCUUUCCCUAAUGAAAAGAACAGCGAUAGAGCAGUUCCCAUGUGGCACAGCAGGUUAGGGAUCUGGCAUUGUCACCGCUGUGACUCUGGCUGCUGCUGUAGUGAGGGUUCGAUCCCUGGCCCCAGGAACUUCCCCAUGCUGUGAGUUCAGCCAAAAAAAAAAAAGAGACAGAAAACGACUAUAAAAUUCUAUAGCACAGUUGUCUGGAGACAUUUAAAAUAAGAAUGAAAAUACUUUAGUAGAGUUUGUGGACAACACUUUAUUCCUUCAAAGAAUAGCACUGCAUUCAUACAAUCAUAAAUUCAAAUCAUCGAUAAAAAUAGUUAUUGUAAAUUAGGAACAGGAACCCCUUAAUCAAGAUACUUUCAUCUGUCCUUAAUUGUAUUAUUGAUUUUUAUUUAAAUUAGGCACUUGAUCAUCUACUGGAAAAUCUUUCAAAUAACCAUACAGAUCUUCAAUUUGAAUGGAAAUCCUUUAAAUGUGGCCUUGCUGUGCCUGUGUAACCUGCACGACUUUAUAUUUUGGCCCUGUGGUGAAUAUGGUCUUCUUAAAUAACUAGGUGGUGAUUCUGGAAAACACCAUAAAAAAUGGUUAAAAUAAAGAUGCUCAGGUAUUUAAGAGGUUAAAUAUCAGUAAUACCAAGACAUUCCCUAAAUAUUCAGAAUAGGAGCCAUGUUCUAGUGAGACACUCUCUGGGCAGGGGUAGAUUUUCAAGACUGGGGGCCUUGGUGUUAGUGCUCUAGAAUUUUCCCCUUCGAUAAAUUUUCUUCCAACUUGUAACUGCAAAAUUAUCUCUUCUAGCAAAAUGCCCUGAUAUUUUUCAGUUGCAAACAUAUCAAAGUCCUGGGAUGUUCCACGGACAGGGGAGGCCUUUGCCAAAAGUACAACCAUAGAUAGCAUGCUUUUUCCACGGUAAGCGUGUCCCUCCUCCUCCAGUCACCAAAACAUGCCGGCACCUCCAUGCCCUAUCACCCCUCUGCAAAAGGAACUAGCUUCUCUCUUGACACUAGCAGCUUUGAGCAACCUGGGAUGGGUAGUCACUUCUUCAUUCAUCGAGAAGUCUGAUUUGUACUUUAAUGUGUGAAACUGACAAUGCCCAGAAGAUACUACUGGUCUUGAAGUUGCUCUGCGCAGUAGCGACUGUUCCAGCGUACACCAGCCACAUGGAGGAGACAGAAUUAAAGACCUCCUGCAAGCCACACCGUGUGCUCAUGCCCCCUGGUGGCUGCUGCUUCUUCCUUUCAAAACACCCUGCUGAGCACCUGCUGGGCAUGAGGCCUUAGCAGGACUAGAGAUGUGAUGGGAAAUCAUACCCGAGUUUGCCCACAAGGAGCUCACAGUCCAGUUGUGAAGAGGAGUAUUAACAGAGCCAGACACUGGUGGGACAGGCUGGGGCUGUCCUUUCUCUGGAUUCUGGGUCCCAGCAACCUCAGGAGGAAGGAGAGGCUGUAGGUCUCCCUACCAUACAGCAAAUCCUUAGUGAGCAUCUACUUUGCACCAGAAGCUGGGGGGAGGGCGAGGGGUGUGUGUGAAAAAAAAAAACAAAUCAAAUAUACAUCUUUGCCUUGAGAAGUUUACAAAAGAAACCCUAGUAGCGUUCGGGGGGGGUGGGGGGGUCAAUACAUUGCUUUCCUUAGGUUUAGCCUGUAGAAAUGACACCUGUUCAUUUUACCAUAACUGAGGCCUCCCGAGGCCAGAGGCAGCCCCAUUCAUCCCACCAGACCUAGGCUGUCUCUUCUGUUGCGACUCUGGCUGAAAGAAAAGAUGGACAGAACGAGCCCCCUACUGCUCAGGACUGGAACUACAAAUGCCAGAACUGUGAUGACCCAUCACAGAUGAACCAUAGCAAGUCUGAAAGGCCUCUGAAUUCACAUCAAAGCUCCCCACAAUCAAAUCAGUCAUGGCCACGACUCACUCAAGUGAUAUCAGCAGACCUUUUCUUGUUCCAACUGUGGUGAUCUGAGAGUGGUGCCACAGGGCUGGGUUUGAAGGGUUAAUGUUUAAAUAAAAACCAGAGGCAACAAAUAAGGGGACAGCGUAAAGGAACAAAAGCAAUGCUGAAAGCAGUUUUCAUGCAGCUGGCAUAGUUGCAGAGAUGACAUAACAUGCAACUGUUUCUUUGAUAUUGUUUCUGACAAACUCAACAUUGUUAUCCUUAUUUAUUACUGAAAGCAGGAUAGCAGUAUUUAAAUUGUGGGAGCAGCUCUAACUCUCUAGGUUGCUGUGACCAACAGAAUGAAAGUUAGUUUGUUCUCACGUUUGUAACGGCAACUCUGCCAUCUCUUGGAAAAUGCUGGAAGUACCUAGAGCAUUUCACAAUAUUUCAAAGGCAAGGAUCUGCUGGUAAGAAGACAGAUGAAAAGGACAUUGCCUGUCUAUUUCUAUAUGAUGUUUUUAACCUUUAACAUUUGUACCAGCAAAC